CUCUUCUUGUAUUAUUUAUGAAGUAUGGCCUGCCCAAUGAGUUUUGAAUGGCCGCGGUAUCUUGACCGUGCAAAGGUAGCAUAAUCAUUAGUCUUUUUAUUGGGGACUGGAAUGAAUGGUUUGACGAGAUAAGAUCUGUCUUUAUAUUAUUUAGUAGAAUUUAAUUUCUGAGUAAAAAAGCUUAGAUAUAAUUAUGGGACGAGAAGACCCUAUAGAGUUUAUAUAAUAAUAAUUUUGUUUAUAAAUAGUAUGUUUAUUAAUAUUAAUUAUAAUUAUUUAGUUGGGGUGAUUGGAAGAUAGUAGUAACUCUUCUUGAUUAAUAAAUAUUAAUUAGUAGUAUUUUGAUCCAUUAUUAAUGAUUAAAAGACUAAAUUACCUUAGGGAUAACAGCGUAAUCUUUUUUGAGAGUUCUAAUUGACAAUAAGGGUUGCGA
This 433-nucleotide ribosomal RNA is filed under the name Blaberus craniifer (death's head cockroach). Its description in RNAcentral is "partial 16S ribosomal RNA". Lineage: Eukaryota; Metazoa; Arthropoda; Insecta; Blattodea; Blaberidae. The record is from RNAcentral.